RNAcentral lists this non-coding RNA (84 nucleotides) under Streptomyces mangrovisoli. Its description in RNAcentral is "Streptomyces RNA 6106". It matches the Rfam family "Streptomyces RNA 6106". Rfam says of the family: Identified by deep sequencing of transcriptome at the end of exponential growth phase. Appears smaller on northern blot than sequencing transcript. The record is from Rfam by way of RNAcentral. Lineage: Bacteria; Bacillati; Actinomycetota; Actinomycetes; Kitasatosporales; Streptomycetaceae.
ACGCCGCCGCGUGCGGCGGUCGGGGCCUCGACGGGCCCGAUGGGCGGGGGUGGUGCCGUGUCGGCGCAGCACCACCCCUGCGCU